UACGAAGGGGGCUAGCGUUGUUCGGAAUUACUGGGCGUAAAGCGUGCGCAGGCGGCUUCUCAAGUCAGGGGUGAAAGCCCAGAGCUCAACUCUGGAAUUGCCUUUGAGACUGAGUGGCUUGAGUACGAGAGAGGUGAGUGGAAUUCCCAGUGUAGAGGUGAAAUUCGUAGAUAUUGGGAGGAACACCGGUGGCGAAGGCGGCUCACUGGCUCGUAACUGACGCUCAUGCACGACAGCGUGGGGAGCAAACAGG
Molecule: ribosomal RNA, 253 nt
Filed under: uncultured bacterium
Lineage: Bacteria
Description: partial 16S ribosomal RNA
Rfam family: Bacterial small subunit ribosomal RNA
Source: RNAcentral